This 468-nucleotide ribosomal RNA is filed under the name uncultured bacterium. Its description in RNAcentral is "partial 16S ribosomal RNA". It matches the Rfam family "Bacterial small subunit ribosomal RNA", at positions 28 to 507 of the family's 1533-position model. The record is from RNAcentral.
GACGAACGCUGGCGGCGUGCUUAACACAUGCAAGUCGAACGGAAAGGCCCUGCUUUUGUGUGGUUCUCGAGUGGCGAACGGGUGAGUAACACGUGAGUAACCUGCCCUUGACUUUGUGAUAACUUCAGGAAACUGGGUCUAAUACCGGAUAUGAUCUCCUGCUGCAUGGUGGGGGAUGGAAAGUUUCGGCGGUUGGGGAUGGACUCGCGGCUUAUCAGCUUGUUGGUGGGGUAGUGGCUUACCAAGGCUUUGACGGGUAGCCGGCCUGAGAGGGUGAACGGCCACAUUGGGACUGAGAUACGGCGCAGACUGCUACGGGAGGCAGAAGUGGGGAACAUUGCACAAUGGGCGGAAGUCUGAUGCAGAAACGCCGCGUGCGGGAUGACGGGUUUCGGGGUGUAAACAGAUUUGGCAGGUGACGAAGAGUGAGUGACGGUAAUGGGUAAAGAAGCACCGGCUAACUACGUG